This is a non-coding RNA of Caenorhabditis elegans, 175 nucleotides long. The record is from Ensembl. NCBI's taxonomy places the organism in Eukaryota, Metazoa, Nematoda, Chromadorea, Rhabditida, Rhabditidae.
UCUCUUUGCAGUCAUUUCUACUAAUAUCUGUGCGGUAAAAUGAUCAUUUUUAGCGGACAUAGGCAAAUGCAAAUACAGGGUGACAGUUACCUGGGAAUGCGAGGAAGUGAACGGAAACUCUCUUUCCAAGUGGAUUGGCAAAUAUGGGCAAACACUUUGGCAGGUAUGGUACACA